Diachasmimorpha longicaudata is the source of this 665-nucleotide long non-coding RNA. RefSeq lists it as uncharacterized. The record is from RefSeq and is a predicted model, not a curated record. The transcript has 2 exons. NCBI's taxonomy places the organism in Eukaryota, Metazoa, Arthropoda, Insecta, Hymenoptera, Braconidae.
UGCAGUUGACAUUCGAGUAUUUCUUUUCAGUCUCGAUGGGUUUCAACAGUGAACUUGAAAAUCCCUCAACAUGAAAAUAAAAAUUUCCCUUUACAAGACUGGAAAGUAAAAAAUGUUUAAAUAAAGAAGGAACAUUUAACAGCGAUGGCAAAGUAAAGGAUAUUUGUCUCUUUUUUUUCCGACCGUAUCCUCCGGAAGGUGCUCUGUGGUUUCCUCUCGAACAUUUAUCCUCCUCGACCCAAUAAAAAGGACUUACGGCAGAGCAAAAACACCACUAGGCACUCGUGCAAGCUCAAGUACAUAAUAUCUCACGAUGAAACUGAUCGUUGUGAUUCUAUCCAUCGCGGUUUUUGUUUCAUCCCAGCGUGCGGGGGAUAAUGGAGAGGACUUGAUCCGCAUCCUCGGAAGACCUUCCAAUGUACGUGACAUAAUUGACAAUCCUGAGCUAGCCGAUGGUGCAUUAGGUAGGCAACGGCGUGCACCAAUGAGGCUCCCCCCUAGGACCUGGGGUAGUCCCGGGUCCGGUAUAUACUCUCCAUUUGUGCCAAGGCCAUUCUGGGGUAUCCGCUCAAUCCGAUGAAGAUUAUUCCCUAUCAAUAUGUGAGAAGAUAUUAAUUUGUUCUGUCAAUACUAUCCAAUAAAAUGAAAACAAUUCAAUAAGAAAA